RNAcentral lists this ribosomal RNA (415 nucleotides) under uncultured bacterium. Its description in RNAcentral is "bacterial SSU rRNA". It matches the Rfam family "Bacterial small subunit ribosomal RNA", at positions 29 to 489 of the family's 1533-position model. The record is from RNAcentral.
AGCGAACGCUGGCGGCAGGCUUAACACAUGCAAGUCGAGCGGGCGUAGCAAUACGUCAGCGGCAGACGGGUGAGUAACGCGUGGGAGCAUACCUUUUGGUUCGGAACAACACAGGGAAACUUGUGCUAAUACCGGAUAAGCCCUUACGGGGAAAGAUUUAUCGCCGAAAGAUUGGCCCGCGUCUGAUUAGCUAGUUGGUGAGGUAACGGCUCACCAAGGCGACGAUCAGUAGCNGGUCUGAGAGGAUGAUCAGCCACAUUGGGACUGAGACACGGCCCAAACUCCUACGGGAGGCAGCAGUGGGGAAUAUUGGACAAUGGCGAAAGCCUGAUCCAGCCAUGCCGCGUGAGUGAUGAAGGCCCUAGGGUUGUAAAGCUCUUUGUGCGGGAAGAUAAUGACGGUACCGCAAGAAUAA